This 709-nucleotide ribosomal RNA is filed under the name uncultured bacterium. RNAcentral describes it as "bacterial SSU rRNA". It matches the Rfam family "Bacterial small subunit ribosomal RNA", at positions 8 to 685 of the family's 1533-position model. The record is from RNAcentral.
AGAGUUUGAUCAUGGCUCAGGACGAACGCUGGCGGCGUGCCUAAUACAUGCAAGUCGAGCGCGUGAAGCAUUUUGAUCUCCUUCGGGAGUGACGGAUGUGGAACGAGCGGCGGAUGGGUGAGUAACACGUGGGCAACCUGCCUGUAAGUUUGGGAUAACUCGCGGAAACGCGAGCUAAUACCAGGUGAAGCUUAUCAUCUCCUGAAGAUAAGCUAAAAGACGGCAUUGCUGUCACUUACAGAUGGGCCCGUGGCGCAUUAGCUAGUUGGUGAGAUAAGAGCUCACCAAAGCGACGAUGCGUAGCCGACCUGAGAGGGUGAUCGGCCACACUGGGACUGAGACACGGCCCAGACUCCUACGGGAGGCAGCAGUAGGGAAUAUUCCGCAAUGGACGCAAGUCUGACGGAGCAACGCCGCGUGAGUGAUGGAGGUCUUCGGAUCGUAAAGCUCUGUUGUUAGGGAAGAACACGUACCGUUUGAAUAAAUCGGUACCUUGACGGUACCUAACCAGAAAGCCCCGGCUAACUACGUGCCAGCAGCCGCGGUAAUACGUAGGGGGCAAGCGUUGUCCGGAAUUAUUGGGCGUAAAGCGCACGCAGGCGGUCCUUUAAGUCUGAUGUGAAAGCUCGCGGCUUAACCGCGAAAGGUCAUUGGAAACUGAGGGACUUGAGUACAGAAGAGGAGAGUGGAAUCCACGUGUACCGGUGAA